CAUGCAGUCGUACGAGAAUCCUGGGAACCGGGAGAGUAAAGUGGCGCACGGGUGAGUAACGCGUGGGUAACCUGCCCUUGAGUUGGGGAUAACCCCGCGAAAGCGGGGCUAAUACUGAAUAAUAUGUCGAUCCCUACGGGGGUUGACAUCAAAGAUGGCCUCUGCAUGCAAGCUAUUGCUCAGGGAUGGGCCCGCGUGCCAUUAGCUUGUUGGUAGGGUAAUGGCCUACCAAGGCAACGAUGGUUAGCUGGUCUGAGAGGAUGGCCAGCCACACUGGAACUGAGACACGGUCCAGACUCCUACGGGAGGCAGCAGUGGGGAAUCUUGCGCAAUGGGGGAAACCCUGACGCAGCAACGCCGCGUGGGUGAUGAAGGCCUUCGGGUCGUAAAGCCCUGUCAGGUGGGAAGAAAUAUACCGAUGCGAAUACCAUCGGUAUUUGACGGUAUCACCGGAGGAAGCACCGGCUAACUCCGUGCCAGCAGCCGCGGUAAUACGGAGGGUGCAAGCGUUGUUCGGAAUUAUUGGGCGUAAAGCGCGUGUAGGCGGUUGGGUAAGUCAGAUGUGAAAGCCUUCCGCUCAACGGAAGAAGUGCAUUUGAAACUGCCCAGCUAGAGUACGGGAGAGGAGAGUGGAAUUCCCGGUGUAGAGGUGAAAUUCGUAGAUAUCGGGAGGAACACCAGUGGCGAAGGCGGCUCUCUGGUCCGAUACUGACGCUGAGACGCGAAAGCGUGGGGAGCAAACAGGAUUAGAUACCCUGGUAGUCCACGCCGUAAACGAUGGGCACUAGUGUAGGAGGUAUUGACCCCUUUCUGUGCCGAAGCUAACGCAUUAAGUGCCCCGCCUGGGGAGUACGGCCGCAAGGUUA
RNAcentral lists this ribosomal RNA (866 nucleotides) under uncultured bacterium. RNAcentral's name for it is "bacterial SSU rRNA". It matches the Rfam family "Bacterial small subunit ribosomal RNA", at positions 54 to 896 of the family's 1533-position model. The record is from RNAcentral.